UACGUAGGGUGCAAGCGUUAAUCGGAAUUACUGGGCGUAAAGCGUGCGCAGGCGGUUAUGCAAGACAGAUGUGAAAUCCCCGGGCUAACCUGGGAACCGCAUUUGUGACUGCAUAGCUGGAGUACGGCAGAGGGGAUGGAAUUCCGCGUGUAGCAGUGAAAUGCGUAGAUAUGCGGAGGAACACCGGAUGGCGAAGGCAGUCCCCUGGGCCUGUACUGACGCUCGAUGCACGAAAGCGUGGGGAGCAAAC
RNAcentral lists this ribosomal RNA (250 nucleotides) under uncultured bacterium. Its description in RNAcentral is "partial 16S ribosomal RNA". It matches the Rfam family "Bacterial small subunit ribosomal RNA", at positions 524 to 773 of the family's 1533-position model. The record is from RNAcentral.